RNAcentral lists this long non-coding RNA (36171 nucleotides) under Physcomitrium patens. RNAcentral describes it as "long non-coding RNA (PPAT_LNC005057)". The record is from RNAcentral. Lineage: Eukaryota; Viridiplantae; Streptophyta; Bryopsida; Funariales; Funariaceae.
UACGGAAGGGAAAUACUUACAGGAGGAUAAUUGGGACAAGUUAGGUCCUUCACUCUCGACGGAACUACUCAUAACCUAAAGCAAUUGUUCAUACUGUAGAACAUUAUAAGACAACCUGGUCCUUUGGUGGAUCCGAUUAAAAGUCUUUAGGCUCUUAGACUUAAAAUUUACAUUAGACCUCCCUGAUUAUGUCGAGAUACAGUUUGAAAAGAACCCACGGAAUAAAAUCGAGCACCAUGUCCAAGUUCCAACAGUUUUUCUCUAUUGAAAAUAAAAAUAAAAAUAAACUAUCAAAUUAGAUACAAGUCGCGCUCAAGAUAACAUUGAAAUCACAUCGUCAUAUACAUGACUAUCUAAAGGAGCCACAAAUUCAAGAAAUAAACUCAGCAAUUUCUGGUCUAAUCAAGAAAAACCAAGCCCGUACAUAGACGUAAUCGGAUUCAUUCUAUCUGAACCAUGCGAUCGAUGCUCAAAUGAGUAGGAAUACAACUCUACGACCAACAAACCAUGAAGGGAACCCAAUCUGCACAACGAGAACUUCUAUCCAUAGUAUAAGCUAACACACUCCAGGUCUCUUCACCUCUCCGGAUCUCUUCCAGCUCAACCACAAACACACCCAUGUACUUCACAACCCCCAUAAAAACACAACCCACAAACAGCGAGAGCUAACAAUACCCAAUCUCAAUCCACAAACAACCCAUAAAGGAAACUUAGGGCGACGCCAUCAAGAAGGGCAGUCCAUGUAACAGAACCACAUCGGGAUAGAGAGAGAGACGAGUACCUUGCUUGUGGCCAGCGGACUUCUCAACAGCGUGACAUUGCGCGCACUUGGUCUUGAAGAUCUUCUCACCGGCCUUCUCGUUACCCUUGGGGGCCUCAGCGAAAGAGGCCAUGGCGGACUAGAAGAAACACAGAGACACACACACACACAUACACUAGAGAUUCAGGACAACCGCAGAAACACGAGACAACCGCAGCAACAACGAGACGCAGCAGAACACAGUCGGAGAGCCCCAAUUAUGGAACCAAACUAAGGCGAAGGCGAAGGACUGGCUUGGCCGAGGGAGGGCAAUGGCUUCCAGGGAACUUGGUCGCCGUUGAUUAGCGCUGCGAUGGUGACGCGGCGAGUUCCGGAGUGCACUCGCGCCGUCAAGAAGCUUCGCGGAGACUGCAACCGGGCUCGCCACCACGUGGACCCUUUCGGCGUCAACCAACUCUCGUGCUUGCCUCCCUUCCACCUCGCUUACGUGGCGCUUUUCAAGAGCUAACGUGGCCGUUUGCGACUGACCACACAUGUUUUCCUUUGUAUUUUACGAGGCGAAUGUUUUCACUUCAAAAGCAUGAACAAUUUCCAUGGUGACCAAAUUAUUGGUGUUUAUCCUUUGUGAUUGUAAUGCUGUUCUUCAAUAUUUUCGGAAAAUUUUAUUUUUCAAUACAAUCUAGAUUAAAUAAAAAGUUUCUAAGGUUGUAUGAAAUUAUUGCAAUCAAUGCACUGAUGUACAAUUAUAUUGUGUUAAUAAAAUCUGUGCCCAAUUCACUUUUCUUUUUAUAACCUUUAACUAUUAAAAAUCUUCAAAAAAAAGUGUCAUAUUGUAAAUCUCUUUUGGAAGUCACUAAUUUUUUAAUACAGAUGUUAAAUUUCUAUAAUCCGUUUAUAUUUUUUUAUGUUGAUUUUGACAUGAAAUGAGAAAAAUAAAAAAAAUAAACUGAAAAUCCUAAAGGUGUAGAGCAAAAAUAUUCUUUUAGUGAAGAAAAAUCCAAAUCAUUGCAAUGACAAUUAAGAAUUUAUGACAUACUAUGCAGAAUCAAUUGUACUUUUUAGCAAUAAUAUGUGAUGAUUUUUUGAUCUUAUUAUUGUUUGUAUUCUUAUAGCACAAUAUAUCUAUCUUUAUUGAUAUGUAUAUAUAUAUAUAUAUAUAUAUAUGUUCCAUCAAUAUAGCAAUUUGUAACAAAAAUAAAUAAGUAAAUAUAAAAAUAAGCAAUUUUAUUUAAUAUAAUUUCUUUAUUUAAAUUCUCCAUAUAUUUUUGAAAAAACCAAGAGAAUUAUCCAUUUAUAUUAAAUGCUUAAUAACUAACAUUUAUAUUUCUAUUAACUUUACAACUUUGGAUUUUAAAUCACUUUAAAAUGUUUAGUCACAAAUUGUGAUAUUCUAAUUAUUUUAGCCAUUUAAAUAUCAAUAUUACAAAAUAGUCUUAAUUUUAUUUUUUCCAUUUUUUAUAAAAAAACAUUGCAAGUCUUGAUUCUAGGUAAAAUCAUUUAUUCAUCUUAUAAGCAUUCAACAAAAACCUUUAAAAAUUCAAAAUCGGCUUUAUUAAAAUCAAUGUCUUUUAUGGUUAUUAAUGUGAUUUUAUCUUUAAAAUAUAUAUAGUAAUAUGAAUUUUUUCAUAAUUUUAAAUUUUCUAUUUAAAUAUAUUUUAAUAUGAAUAUAUUUAAAAUAAACUAAAAUUUAAACAUCAAAAUUUUUAUUCUUUAAUUCAAAUAAUAUUAUAUAUGUAAUUCAAAUAAUAUUAUAAUAUAUAUGUAUAUAUAUAUAUAUAUACAUAUGAUAUUAUAAUAUAUAUGCUUAAAUAAAGUAAGUAUGAUGAAUAUAUUGUUAGAGACAUAUAUAUUUACUCUAAUAAUUAUUUAUAUAAUAUAAAUAGAUAGAAGUAGGUAAAAAUAGAUUAAUUUGAUAAUAUCUUCUAAAAAUGCUUUGUAAAAGCUUAAUAGAUGUGAUUUCACAUUUAUACGUGUUUGUAGGUGAUUAAUAGGUUGAACACUUAGCCAACAAGUUAGCCACGUAUCAUAUAUGUUAAAAGUUUUUGGUAUAAAUUAAUGAAAUGGCACACAUAUAAGAAACUUGUCUUAUAAUUUAAGGUACAUGUCUUGCAAGUUAUACACAUAUCAAAGGUCCUAGAGAACAUCACCAUGUAGCUCUUAGUUACAUAAUAUACAAGGAUGUAAGAGUGAAGCCUUUUUUACUUUUGAUUUUUUUUUUCUUCUAGUUUAAUUUCAAGACUAUUUGGAUUUUUAAUCUUAAGCAAUAGCCAUUCUAGUUUCUUCUUUAAUAUAUAUAUUUUUGUAUUAUUAUUUUGUUAUCUUUCUUUGAUACCUAUCUCACUUGUUUACUUAUCUUUUUUAAAUUCUUGUUCUUGACAGAUUGACGAAGAUACAAUUAUAAUAUUAGAGCUUUGUCUUUUUUUGAUUAAGAAUAGAUUAUUCCUCCGAGUUUGUCCAGCUAUAAUAGAAAUCAUGCAAUUAGAACCUUAUAUAAUACCUAGUAAAGAUUUUAUUUUCUCUUCAAAAUCCUCUUCUUGUUUUACAAUAGAUGUUAGUUUAAGAUCUAAAUAUUUCAAAGCUUUUGUUUUGCUAGAUUUAAGAGCCUCAAUUUGUUUUUUAGAUAAAAAAUUUGUUAAAAGAUAUAGCAUUUUAUUACUUAAGGAAACUAAAUUUGUUCAUGUAAAAGUCAUAGAUGGUUGUUUAUUGUCUUCUAGAGAUGUUAUUCAUGAAAUCCUUCUUAUAGAAAUAGCCACUAAUGGUCAUAAUAACUUAAUAAGAUUUGAAAUUAUUAAAUCUUCUUCUAUUCUAACUAUUUUAGAUUUAUUGUAGCUAAAAAAAUAUAAUCCUUAAAUAAAUUGGAUUUCUCAUUGUCUUAAUUUUUUAAAAAAUAUACCUAAGAGUGUUGUUAAUCAAACAAAAAGUCAUUAGUUUAGUGCAGCCAAACAUAUAUUUAUUGAUACUAGAGUUUUUUUGGAUGUUAUAGAAAAAGUGUCUCCUUGUAUUAUUUAUACUACAUUUGUUUCUAAUAGUAGAAAGACUUCAAGUGGCAUUCUAAGCCAAUAUCAAGAUUAUCAAGAUAUCUAUGAAAAUAAGAAUAUAGAUACUCUUCCAAAAAAUUAUUCUAAAUUGACCUUCAAGAAGAAGUUCAACUGCCAUUUGGACCAAUCUAUAGUUUAUCACAAAAUAAAUUAGUUGAAUUCAAGGAAUAUAUUGAAGAAAAUUUGAUGAAGAAUUUUAUAUGCCAUUUAAAAUUUCCAAUAGGAGCUCCAACAUUAUUUAUGAAGAAAAAAAAAUUAAUCACUAUGGAUUUGUGUAGAUUAUUGAGGACUUAAUAAGAUCACCAUCAAGAGUAGGUACCUUCUACCUUUGAUAUCUAGAUUUCUUGAUUAAUUGAAUAAAGCAAAAAUUUAUAUAAAAAUAGAUCUAUAAAAAGUAUACAAUUUAAUAUGCAUCAAAAAAAGAGAUGAAUAGAAGAUUGUAUUUUGAAUUAAGUAUGGACAUUUUGAAUAUAAUAUCAUGUCCUUAGGACUUACAAAUACACUUGCAGCUUUUCAACAUCUAAUGAAUGAUGUCUUUCAAAAUUUUUUAGAUAAUUUUAUUAUUUUUUAUUUAAAAAAUAUUUUAAUCUACUCUAAGAAUAUAAAAGAACAUGAACUCUAUAUUUGUUAUAUUUUAUAAAAAGUAAAAGAUAUAAGAUUCUAUGUCAAGGUAAAAAAGUAUAUAUUUUACACUACUUAAGUCAACUUCUUAAGAUACAACAUUUCAAAUGAUGGACUUAUGAUAGAUCUCAAGAAAUUUUAAACUAUCAUGGAUUAAAAGAUUUUAAAUAUAUAUAUAUAUAUAUAUAUAUAUAUAUAUAUAUAUUGAAUAUUUUUUUAAGUUUAUCAAUUAUUAUUGGAUUUAUAUUAAGAAUUUUUUUUAAGUAGAAUAAAGAAAAAAAAAGUAGUAUUUGAAGCUUCAAACAUAACUUUUGUUUUUGCACCAAUCUUAUAUUGUAUCAACUUUUUCAAGCCAUUCUUUACAAAAACAUAUGCAUUGGACUUUAUUUUAGAUGCCAUAUAGUAAAAAAUGAGAGCAAAUGAUAAUAUUAAAAUUUCUUAAAUAGAAAGCUAUUGAAUGAAGUUUAUAUUUGAUUUCAUUUUUUAUUAUUAAUAAUCAAAAUAAACUAUAAGAUCUACAAUAAAGUAAAUUAUGGAUUACAAAAACCUUGAAUAUUUCAUGUGAGUACAUAUUUUGAAUUGUUGCCAAAGUCAUUAGAAUAUGUCCUUAUCAAGAUUCAAAUUUAAGAUUAUUUAUUGACUAUGAAAAUAAUAAUAUUUAUCAUAUGUCCUUUCUAAAAGAUAUUAUUUUGCAUUAAAGCAAGAUAUACAAAUUUUGAACAAUAAUAGAUCAUUUUUUUGAAAUUAGAGCAAUUUCAUUUUUAAGCAAUGAAAUAAAUACUAACUAUUGAUGUAGCUUUUUUUUUUAGGUAUGUUUAGUCAAGUAUGUCCAUUAAUUUUCUUGUUUGUAAUAUUAAAAAAAAACUAUAAAAUUUCAUAAUAUUUCUAAAUUUUAAUUUAAGCAUAAUUUUUAUAUUUUGAGGGAUAGUUAUAUAUUUUAAAAGAUGAAGCAUAAUUAUAUAUUCUUCAAGCUCGUUACAACUUCUUAGCAAUUAGAUAUUUUGGAUAAAAUAAGAUUUUAGAACAAAUAUCUAAAGAUUUUUAGUAGCUUCAAAUAUAGAAGGCAAUUAAAAAAUUUGUAUAAUCUUGUGACAUUUUUUUAAGAUAAUAAACUCCUUAUUAUCAAUCUUAUAUAAUUCUUCACCUGUUACUCAAUCUACAAUAAAUAUGGUCUUUUCUAUCUAUAGAUUUUAUGAAAAAUAUUUUAGUUUUAAAUUCAUAUGAUUCUAUAUUUGUGAUAGUAAAUUUUUUUACUGAGAUUGCACAUUUUAUACUAUAUACAAAAUCUAUUAUAUAUGAAGAAACAACUAAAUUUUUUCUUAACAACAUAUAUUACUAUCAUGGAUUAUCAAAGAAUAUUACAUCAAAUAAGAAGACUCAAUUUGUAUUAAGGUUUUAGAGAAUUUUUUAUAAGAUUUUAAAAGUAGACAUAAAAUUAUUUUUGAUUUUCCAUCUUCAAAUUGAUGGACAAACAAAUCACAUAAAUCAAGUUUUGAAGUACUAUUUAAUAUGUAUUAUUAACCACCAACAAGAUGAUUGGACAAUUCUUUUGUCAUUGGUACAAUUUGCUUGUAAUAACAUGAUAUACUCAUCUACUCAAAAAACAUCUUUUUUUACUAAUUAUGAUUAUAAUUUAUAACUUGAUACUUUUGACUUUUCAAAAGUUGAUAAUCUUAUGAAAGAAGAUUUGGAAAAUUAUUUAUUUGAGCUCAAAAAAGAUUUAUACGGAUUCAUAUUGGAAGGAAUAACUUUAAUAUCAUGUUUGCAAUAAGAUAUGAUUACUUCAUUAUAUUAUCUAGACUAUUUAUCUUUGUCACAAGUUCUAUUAUUAUAGAUUUGAAUCAUUUCAUAUAUGUAAAUAAUUCAAUUCAAUUGCUUAUCAAUUAUAUUUAUCAAAAUCUAUGAAGAUACAUCUUGUAUAUCAUAUAUCUCUACUUGAGCUAUAUAAAAUAACAAAUAUUCCAAGAAGAAUACAAAUCCUAUUCUUUCCUAUUAAAAAAGAUAAUAAUGAAGAAUUUAAAAUAUAAGAAGUCUUAAAUUCAAGGCAAUGCUAUUUUAAGUUAGAAUAUUUUAUUUAUUAAUGCAAAUAUGAUAUUAGUGAAUGCACAUAGAAGUUAGUAAGAAAUUAACUUUUUUUAUAAUAUAAUAAAAAAAAUUAAAGCUUUUCAUCAAUAAUAUAUAAAAAAAUUAAAAUAAAGAAUUAAAAAAUUCCUUACUAUAAAAUAAAGAAAGCUUAAUAAAGAUUGUAUUUCAUAUUUUAUCAUUCAUUAUGAAUUUUUUGUAUUUGUGAUGCUAAUAAGAUAAAAAAACCAAGAAUUAGUAGAUUCAAUUCAAAAACUUUCAUUUGCUGACUUAUCAAAUAAGACAUUAUAAUUAUUGCAACCUUCAAGACGAUAUACUCGUGAUGAAGAACCUCAAGAAUAACUUGUUCUUCUUCAAAUAAAUGGCAAGAUACAACACGUUUAGUAUCACAACCUUAAAAGCAACUUAUGAUAUUUGAUAAUUUUAUUGAAAGUAAGAAUUAUUUUUGAUAUUUUAAAAAAAUAUUUUAUUUGAAAGAUAUUAAUAAGGCCUUAAAAAUAAUUGAAUAUCAAGGUGAUCUUUUUGCUCUAAAAUAAGACAUUAUCACUAAUUGAGAUGACCUAUCAACUACCUUCAAGUAGAACAAAAAUUAAAACAUAUAAUAAAUAUAAUUUGCCACAACUUGAAUUUCAUCAAUAUGUGAUUAUUGUUCCUUGUGGAACUUAAUCCAAGAAUGAGGCGAUAAUGCCAAUGACAUAUAUAUUUAUUCUAGUAAUUACUUAAAUAAUAUGAAUAGAUAGAAAUAGCUAAAAAUAGAUUAAUUUUCUAAUAUUUAAUAAUUUUUUUUUAAAAGCUUCAUAGAUAUGAUUUCAUCUUCAUACAUGUCUAUAGAUAAUAGAUAGGUGGAACAAUUGGCUAAUAAAUUAGUCAUGUGUCACAUAAGUAGUAGCUUGUGAUAGAAGCUAAUUAUUUAAAGUACAUAUGUAAUAAAGCAAGACCAGUCUAGCUUGAAAGUCUAAGUGUCUUUUAAUCCAUAACAAGAUAAAACCUCACCACAAAAUAAGACAAAAUAAAUUAAAAAAAAAUUGAAUAGAACUAAACAUAAUGGGAUACAAAAGACAAAACUAUGCAAACAAAAAUAUAACCAAACAAAAUUAAACAAGAAGAUACAAAACCAAACUUUACUAAGAGAAAAGAUUUAAAGUUAUAACUGACCAGAUGUCCAAAUUGAUCUAGCUGGUCUUAUAUAUACUUUGUUCUAUUAUCCUAGACUUUCUAUAAUAUUCUUAGAUAAUGGAUCUAACUUUGAUAAUUGUCUUAAAUUCCUUGUAGAAGUUUCUAUAGUAUACCUACCUAGAUAACCACCCUAAGUUCUUUUUAGAAUGUUCCACGAUGGAUCCUACAUAGUCUAUUAAUCAAGUUCCAAUUCUAGAAACUUCCAUAACUUUUUAAACAUAAUUCCAACUAUCUAAUUUUAUGUGUCAAUAACAACUUUUUUUUUUUAUUUAUAUCUUGUUACAAUUAAUCUUCCUCUACUAAUGCAAAAAGGUCUUCAUUUUGCUAUCAAUGGUGUCAUACUGUAAAUACUUAAAGUAUGUAAAAAUUAGUUAGAACAUAUAAUAUGUUCAUAAGUCUCAGUGUGUAAUAGAAUGGUUAAUAGAUUAAUUUAAAGAAAGUGGAUAUAAGCAACAUUAUUUUGAAUUUUAUUUAUUUUGAUUAUGGUAUUUAAAUAUAUAUAUAUAUAUAUAUAUAUAUAUAUAGAUAGGACCUAAAUAUUUAGUAUGAAGCCUUAGGAGAAGGCAGAAGCCUAAAGAUGAAAAUUUAAACUAGUAGGAGGCUAAUUGAGAGGAAUAAAAGUAAGGCAUGGUCAGAUGAAGGCAAGGAAUGGAGAACUUCAUUCCUAUUAGUCGAAUACCAUGCCCAAUGGACUUUGAGGAGAAUGCCGACGACCUUAAUGAGGGUUUUGGUGACUUCAAAGAAGGCAUUUGAGAAUUAAAAGAUGAGAUUGUAAAGUUUACAGUUUGGACUACAAUUUGUAUAUAAAAUUUAGAGGAUUUGGAAUCAGGAUAAAGAAGAUAUAGCCAUUUGAAGUUAAGGUGUUAAUUUAAGAUAUGCUAUUAUUUUUUUGAAAAUAUGAAGAGUUGUAUGACAGCUUUUGAAGAUUAGAAGGUGCGAUUAUAAUAGCGAUUUCAAGGCCUACAUCUUUUAUGAAAGAAUUGUUCCUUUUGGAGUUUAUAUGAAGUACUUAUAAGGAGUUGAAGGUGGCGCUUCUAAAUCAAAGGCAAUAAGUAAGCAAUUUUAUUUAAAGUAAUGGUUGGAGCCAUAACUUGAAUUUUUGAACAAAUUUUUGGCUCAAAAUUUUUAAAAAAUAAAACAUUUUGUAUUAUAAAGCUAUAUAUAAAAAUUGUGUGGCAUUUGAGCUUUUAUUUUGUGAGAUAUAAAGAAAAUUUUACAUAAGGAUAUAAAGACAAGGAUUUGAAGUGACUGUAAGGAUUUUCAAAAUAUCUCAAUAUCCGCAAAAAAAUUGUAGUUGAAAUUUGUUGUAGAAGUUGAUAAGAAUACAUAAGUACUUUAUAUAAAAUUUGAAUAAGUUUGGAUUUUCGGAUCAAGAGACAUGAGGUAUUGAAGUUCAAGAAAAUUUCCACAUAAGGGUAUGCAAGGUUUUAGAGGAUAUUAUCAUAUUUUGGGUGUUGUUGGUUACUUAAGGCUUACAUAUUUGGUGUAAUUGCUCCAAAACGAAAAUUUUAUACAUAAACUUAGGACUUUCUUUAUUUUGAAGCUUUAUUGAGCAAUUAGUGACAACCAGUAGCCCAAUGCUUUCUUGAAGCAAACUCUUUCUAUCCCGACAACGGUAUCUCUAAAUUAUCUAUUGACAGUGGAUGAAGUUUUUGGUGAAUUAUUAUAUUGCAUCGUGGAUGGAAUAACCUUUUUAAAGAGCUUUUUAAAGAAGUUGUGGAUGUUCAUUGCUAUAGUGAAGGUGGCAAUGCUCUAAAAUACUAUCUACUUCAUAUUCUUAUUAGUCAUUAACUAUAACUACAAGUGUUAGUAGUUAAUAUCAAUCUAUAAAGUAUUUUGGCUCGGUAUGAAAUUCCUUUAGUUACAAAAUGUGGAUGACCAAAUAGACCAAAAUAUGUCAUAGUGUCAAAGACAUGAAUCUCGAAGAAAGAGAAUCCUCAAAAAACUCUUCUAUUACUAAAGAGAAUUAGAAAAUCUCUCAAAAGGUGAUGUAAUAUUAACUAGAACGGCUAUUGCCAAAAACAAGAAGACUAAAAAGUCUCGAAACAAGACUAAGCUUAGAAAAGCGUUGACAAGAGUGAAAAAGGCUUCACUCUUGCCUCCAUAUAUACUAUCUAAUUAAGAACUAUGUGGCGAUGUCCUUUAAGACCUCCAACAUGUAUUGACUUUGCUAGCCACAUAUCUUAUCUUGCAAGACAAGUUAUCUAUGUAUGCGCCACGUAAUUGGCUUAUUCUAUAAGCUACGAAUACAUGGUUAGCUUUUUGGCCAAGUUUCUAACCUACAAACACAUCUAAAGUCAAAACCGCGUCUAUGAAGCUUCUAAGAAGCUUUUCUAGAAGACUUUAUGAAAUUAUUCUAUAUUUACCUACUUUUACUUAAUCAUAUAAGUAACUAUUGAGGUAAAUAUGUAUAUCUGUGACAUUAUAUCUCUUUCUAUGGACGAGUUCCAUGAGAAGCAAUCUUCAUAUGUUGAAGAGGUCUAAGAUGCAAGAAAUUGUAUUUACUAUAUACUCCGAACUUUGCUCUCUUCAAAGAUGGUUGAUAGGUCCUCUCAACAACCUAUAGUGCCCCAUAUCAGGGUAAGAAGACCAUCCUGUUAUUUGAUCAUUAUUGAGGCUUUCAUAACUUCCUUCAAAUAACACAUUUGGAACAUCGUCAAGAAUUGUUUCUACCUCUAAUAAAAUCACUAAACAUUGAGAGUUUCUUCCAAGGUUGUAAUACCAAAUAUGUUGUAUCUCGCCAUCUAUUCGAAGAAAGACAUGUCAUUCUUGAGGAUCUUCAUUUUGAUUCUAUCGUCUUGAAGAUUGUGAAAAUUACAAUAUCUCGUCCGAUAAGUCCGUAAAUAAAAGCUCUAGAGUUGAAUCUACUAGUUGUUGAUGCUCCAUCUCAUCACAAAUACACAGAAGUUACAAUAAAAGAUAGAAGGUAGAAUGUUAUUUUCUUUUGAUCUUGUUUCUUUUAUAGCAAAGAUUUGCUAUUCUUCAUCUUGAUUUUGAUGGAUGAUGUUGAUGAAAGACUUCAACUUUCUUUGCUGCAUUUGUAAGAUUCUUUGAUGGCUCCCAUAUGCAUUCACUAAUAUCAUAUUCGUGCCAAUGAAUAAGAUAUUCCAAUGUAAUUUGGCCCCACCUUGAGUCUAAGACUUCUUCCACUUCAAAGUCUUGGUUAUUCCUUGCGAUAAGCAUCUAUGUUGGUCUUUUGUCGUUCUUGAGCUUCCUUUAAUUGUAUCUUCAUUGUUGUAUGUAGCUUUGACAAGCGAUUUGCUAAAUCUUUUUUUGGAAGAUUAUCAACUUUUGAAAAGUCAAAAAUAUCAAGAUGUGGAUGUUAACCAUAAUUUACAAAGAAAGAUGUUUGUUGAAUUGAAGAAUGUACCAAAUUAUUAUAUGCAAACUCUGCCAAUGGUAAAAGAGUUGUUUAAUCAUCUUGAUGAUAGUUGAUGGUACAUCUCAAAUACUGCUCCAAAACUUCAUUUACUUGUUUUGUUUGUCUAUUAAUUUGAGUAUAAAAAGCUGGAAAAAGCUUUAUAUCCAUCUUUAGAACCUUAAAUAGGAUUCUCCAAAAUCUUGAUACAAAUUGAGUCUCCUUAUCCGAUAUAAUAUCCUUUGACAAUCCAUGAUAGCGAUAGAUAUUGUCAAUGAAAAAUUAAGCUGUUUCUUCACAUGUAAUAGAUUUCGUACAUGAUACAAAAUGUGUCAUCUUGGUGAAACGACCUACUAUUACAAAUAUAGAGUCAUAAGAACCUGAGAUUGGAAGAUCCAUGAUGAAAUCCAUAAAAACAGAAGACCAUGGUUGUUCUCGAAUAGAUAAUGGUUGAAGAAGUCCGUAAGGUCGAUGACGAGGAAUUUUAGAUCUUGAGCAAACAUCACAAGAUUGUACAAAAUCUUUGAUUGCCUUCCACAUUUGCGGCUACCAAAAAUCUCUGGAUAUUAAUUCCAAAGUUUUAUUGUACCCAAAAUAUCCUGUUGUUGGAAAGUCAUGAUGAGCUUGAAGAAGACAUAAUCAAGCUUCACCUUUUGGAACAUAUACGCAUCCUUCAAAAUAUAAUAGAUUAUUCUUGAAUUCAAACUUGGAAGUAUCAUGGGACUUAGAGGAAGUAUCCUUGAUAUCCUGAAUAAGAGGAUCAAAUGACAUACUUGAUUGAAUUUGCUUUCGAAAUGUUGAAUCAAUAGUCAAUGUUGAUUUUAUAGCUCGAAGAUGAAAAUGCUCGGACUUCAAAAAAAUUGAUCUUUGUUAAUCAAAAGAUACAUCUCUUUCUUUUGGUACAAGAUAAGAACGUCUAAAAAGAGCGUUUGAUAGACCUUGUUGUUUUUUGGGUCGAUAAGUGAUCUUAAAAUUACAUCUAGAUAAAGACAUGCUCUAACAUGCUUGACGAUGAUUCAAGAUACAAGCUGACAUGAAGUACAUGAGGUUCUUAUAGUCUAUAUAUAUAAUAAUUGGACUUGAGGUGCCUUCUAGAUAAUGACUCUAUUCUUAAAAUGAAUCUAUGAUUGUAAAGGGUUCUUUAUUAUAGAUCUCAUAAUUAAUCUCGACUGCUGAAAAUUUUCUCGAAUGGAAAGCUAUUGGAUGGAGUUUGUCAUCUGUUCCUAUUUGUGACAACAUGGCACCUAUACCAAAAUCUAACGCAUUUGUUUCCAUAAAAAAUACUUUCGAGAAGUCAACGCAAUAUAAGAUUGGUAUAAAAAUAAAUUCCUUCUUUAAAGCAUCAAAUGAUGCUUUUGCUUCUUUAUUCCACUCAAAUUUAUCUUUACAAGUCAAACGUGUAAGUGGAGCUACAACUUGAAAAAAAUUCUUGAUAAAGAUUCGAUAAUAAUUAGCAAAGCUUCAAAAGCAUUGCACAUCUCAUAUUGUUGGUCAAGUAGUCUUGAAAUCAAAGGCAAAAGAUACCUAUUUUUUAUGGUGAUCUUGUUGAAUCCUUAAUAAUCCACAUAUAUUUACAGAGAUCCGUCUUUCUUCUUCACAAAUUUUAGAAUGGCAUAUGAAGUUCUUUGCCAAAUUCUCAUCAAUGUACUUUUUUAAUGCAGCCAACUCAUUUUGCGACAAGCUAUAGAUUGAUCUAAAUGGUGGUUAAGCUCCUUCUUACAAAUCAAUUGAACAAUCAUAAGGUCGAUGCUUGGAGAGAAUAUCUACAUUUUUCUUUUCAAAAACGUCUUGAAAUUCUUGAUAUUGCUUACGAAUACCACUCGACGUUGUUUCACCAUUAGAAAUAGGUGUAGCAUAUAUAGCAAAAGAUGAUCCUUCUUUUGCAGCAUGCAUGAAGGCUUUUGCAUCUAUUAGUAAAGGUUUGGACAUAUUGGACUUAUGUACUUCUACUUUGUUAAUGCAAUCUUGGAUUAUACUAUCAGAAAAGUUAAGGUUAGGAGAAAUUGAAUCUAUUUGAGGGUUAUAUUUUUUUAGCCAUGAUAAUCCUAAAAUAAUCAGAUUAGAGAGAGAUUUUAUUACAUUAAAUACUACUACGCUGUUAUGAUCUUUAAUUUCUAUAUCUAAAGGAAUAGUUUCAUGGAUAAUAUUUCUAAAAGAUAACAAACAACCAUCUAUGACUUCUACAUGUACGGAUUUAACUUUCUUCAUUAAAGGUAUUUUUUGAUUUUUGGCAAAAUCUUUGUCUAUAAAACAUGUUGAGGCUCAUGAAUUUAACAAGGUAAAGAUAUUGUGAUUAUUAGGUCCUAAAUAUACUUCUAUUAUAAAACAAGGUAAGAGAUCUGAGGAGAAGAUAGGACCUUUACUAGGUGUUGCAUAUGAUUCUAGCCGCACGGUUCCUAUUGUAGCUGGAGAAACUAAUUUUCCGACACAUUAUCUUCUUUGGUAAUUGUGCUCCUCAUUUUGUAAUUGUGUUAGUUCUAUAGACAAUAUUAAGCAGUGAACUUAGCUUCUACACAAUAUAAACAUAACCCCUCUUAGCGACAUCGAGUCUUUUCCUGCUUUGUAAGAAGUUUAAAACAUAUUAUAUCAAUUUAUAUUGAUUUUGGCUUUGACGAAUAUGUUUUAGCAAACUUGGGAGUUGUCGCCAUUACUUGACUUCUUCUUCUCUAACCAAAUCUUUGUUCUUGAUGCCUUUUAAAUAAAUGAUCAUUGCAUGUAAUGGCUUGAAUAAUAAAUUAUUCUAAAGAUUCUAUUUUUGGCAUUGUUAAUAACAAAUCUUUGACGCUAUCCUUCAAUCUAUAUCAAAAUUGGUUGAUAAGUACUUUGUCGUUCCAGUCCACAUCACAAGUAAGAUUUUAGAAUUUGGUAGCAUAUGUAGUGGUUGAUCAUGAUCCUUGUCAUAAAGAUAAAAGCUUGGUUUCUGCUACUCAUUUUCCAUCACUUUCUCCAAAUGUGGUCGUAAAUACUUCUAAGAAUGAAUUCAAAUCAAAAACGAGUCGUGAAUCUUUUUCCAUUAAAGGUAUAAACCAAGAGAGAGUACUUCUUGAUAAUAAUACAUCUAUGAAUUCAAUUUAGAUAAAUCCAUCAGAAUAUUGGAAAGGGUGUAGCUUUAGAUAGAACUUGACUUGUUACAAAAGUCCUUGAAAUUUUGAUCUUAUUCCAUCAAACUUCUCAGGCAUAUUAAUCCUUGUCCCUGUCAUACUUGUAGUAGCAAAACUCCCUGGAUUUGAUUGUGACAUUGAUCUACUUGCUUCUUUCAACUGUACAUCUUCUUGCCACAGACUUUGAACUUCUUCCAAAAGCGUAGGCAUAGUAUUUCCAUGAUUUACGUUGGAAAUAUGUAAAAUUUGUACUCUUAGAGUGUUGACAAGCUUAUGAAGAUCUACAAUAGUUACAAAUCUAUUGUCACUUCCAUUGAGAGUAGCAUCCAUAAUCUUUCCUUCCAUACACAAGUCAAGUGAAUUCAAAAGUUAAAAUAGAGGAAGGUAAUCUGUAACCUCUAAAAAAAAUCCUAUAAAGAGGGAUAAUCCACUCUUUUUAAGAAAAAGACUAGUGUUAGAAAACAAGAUUUUUUGUUUAAAGAUGAGUAGUCCACAACCUUCAAAAUACAACAAUAGAAGUGAAAUAAUCUACUCAUUUCUAAAAUAAGAUAGAAACAAUAUGUUAGCACUCUUGUCAAACUGUCAAGGAUAUGAAUCUCGAAGAAAGAGAAUCCUCAAUACACUCUUCUAUCACUAAAGAGAACUAGAAAGUCUCUCAAAAGGUGAUGUAAUAUUAACUAGAAUGGCUAUUGCCAAAAACAAGAAGACUAGAAAGUCUUGAGACAAGACUAAGACUAGAAAGGCAUUGACAAGAGUGAAGAAGGCUUCACUCUUGCCUCCAUAUAUACUAUCUAACUAGGAGAUACGUGGCAAUGUCUUAUAUGACCUCCAACAUGUAUUGUCUUUGCUAGCCACAUGUUUUAUCUUACAAGGCAAGUUAUCUAUGUAUGCGCCACAUAGUUGGCUUGUUCCACAAGCUAUUACAUGGAGGUAACUUAUUCCACAAGCUAUCAAUACAUGGUUAGCUUUUUGGCUAAGUUUCUAACCUACAAACACAUCUAAAAUCAAAACUGUAUCUAUGAAGCUUUUAGGAAGCUUCUCUAGAAGACUUUAUAAAAUUAUUCUAUAUUUACCUACUUCUAUUUAAUUAUAUAAGUAACUAUUGAUGUAAAUAUAUAUGUCCAUGACAGGUAGAAGCUCAAGGUAGUAUGCAACAUCAAAAAUCACUGUAGAAAUGCAGAAAGAUCGAAGUCAUCAAAUUGCUAGUUUAUGGAUUUGGAUUGAUAUAGCAAGUGGUAAGUUGGUGUUGGAAAGUAACAGUUGAUUAUCCUUCUGAAAGAUCUUAUAUUCCAGUGGUUAUCUCCAUAUUGCUUCUAUCAUUUUUAAGCGAUAAGAAGGUAGUAUCAUGCCUCUUAAAAGGUCAUUAUGAGCCGUUGUAUAAAUUCCUCUGUUAUCAAAUUAUUAGUAUCAAUGAAACAAUAAAAAGUUGCUAGCAUAACUAGAUACUAAUUGGUGUUAAAAAAAUGGUGAAUGACCAGUAUUUGCUUGAAUGCUAUUAUUGUAAGAAAAUUUUAAGUAUGUCAAGUAUUCAUCAGAGUCAUUAUGAUGAACUAUCACAUAUAUCCAUAGCAUAUCUUUUAAGGUCUGAUUUACAUGCUCUAUUUGUCCAUCUGUUUUGAGAUGGAAGGCUAUAAAAUUGAUAAGUUAUGUACCGAGUAACUUGAACAAGCCUUGCCAAAAGCUUCUUGUGAAGCACAAAUUUUGAUUAAAAAUGAUAAUAUGAGAUAAAGUAUAGUAAUAAAAGAUAAUAUCAAAGAAGAUUUGUGCAAGUAUUGGGGCAUUAAUAUUUGAGUGCAUUGCGGCCAAGUAAAGUUGCUUCAAGAAUUGAUCCAUAAAGAUAGCAACUACAAUGUGAUUAUGAGGUAUUUGUGAGAAAUUCAUUCUGUGAUUUAUAAUUUCUUGCUUCCAAUGUACCAUAGAUAAUAGAAUUGGUUGCUAAAGUCUAAUAGAUACUGCGUUGCCUACUUUAUUAUAUUGACAUGCCUCGCAGAAGUACAAAAGCUCAAACAUCACAAUCCAAACUUGUCCAAAACCAUGUCCUUGAGAUUUGUUCAUUAGUCUUCUCUCAUCUUAAAUAUCUAGAUAUUGGACUCUCAUAUAUCUCUUGAAGUAUGUGUGUCUAGACUAUAGCAUUAUGAGGUACAUAAAUUUGUUUUUUGAAAUAAAACAAGCCAUCACUAAGUGUAUAAUCUUAAUGCCAUGUAUCGCCCACCUUCAGCCGAUUGCUAACCAUUUAGAAAUAAGUAUCCCGGUGUAUAGCUUCUUUUUAUUGUACCUCUUUGGUUAUGUUUGAAAUGACACUUUUAAUAGUAGCAACUUUUGUCUUCUCUUUCAAUUUGACCUUUAAAUCUGGUCUCCGCAACUAGCUAUUUAGCAUAGUAUGUUGUCAUCCUCGCUCGCACUGAAGUUGGAUAUCCAAAAGCUAUGACUAUUCUUCUCAAUGAUGAUGUUGUGAUUUCAUAUUUUUCAUAUGCAAAUUGUAUAGUAAGAGCCAAUGGUUAGUUCAAACAAGCAUUGGUUCUUCAACAAAUAGUGUUCCUACACCUUUGUGGCAUGUAUAAUUUAUUUAUUAUACCUCUAUUUCAUACCACCAAUUAGAAGCAACUCUUAAUUGAAGCCAUCUUGUAAUUUGGGUUGAAAGAGAAAUUUAUCCUCACAACAUAUAUAAAACUUCUCUUACAAGUUAAGACAUAUUUUGCAAAUUGAAUAUGUAUCAGAGGUUCUAUAGGAUAUCACUAUGUAGCUUCUAGUUAAAUAGUAUAUAUAGAAGCAAGAAUGAAGCCUUCUUUACUCUUGUCAAUCACUUUCUUACUUUUAGUCUAGUUUCAAGGAUCUCUAGAUUUUUAAUCUUGACAAAUAGCCAUUCUAAUUUCUUCUUGAAAAUACAUAUUUUCUUAUUAUUAUUUUCUCAUCUUUCUUUAAUACUUAUGUCACUUGUUUAUUUCACUUCCUUAAAUUUUUGACCUUGAAAAUAAGAAUAUGUAAUUAGUGUUGAUUAAUCUUAAAAAUGAUAAUUUCUAUCAUACCAAUAAUAUGUCUAUUUUUAUAAUUAUUAAUAACUAAUAAUUAAUAUUUUUUAUAUAAUAAUUAAUACUAAAUAAAUAAUAGAAAUGAUAUAUAUGUAAUAUUUUAAAUAUUUAUUAUAUUUAAUAUUAAGAUAAAAAACUAUUUAUUCUCUAUUAUGAAUGUGGAAUGUUAAUUAUUAAAGAAUAAAUUCUAUUUUUAAAGAUUUAAUAUUAUAUUACAAAAUCAAUGUAAAGUAAAUAAAAUUUAUAAAAUUUUAAUUUCUAUAAUGAUGUAAAAUACAACUAUUUAACAAAAUAUCCUUAAAAUAUAUUUGUUAAAAAAAUAAAUUGAAAUAUAUAAUAAGAAUAGAACUUACAAAAAAUCCAUCAUUUUCCAUGGAAUAAUAGUUAAAAAAUAAUAGCUUCAACAUUUAAAUAUUAAACAUAUCCACUUAAAAAAAUUGAAUGUGCAUAUAUAUAUAUAUAUAUAUAUAUAUAUGCUUGGAUCAUUUUUUAAAUUAAUAUUCUCAUAAAAAUAUCAUUUAUAAAUUUUAAAUAUAAAUAUUAAAAUAAUAUUGUAUUAUCAUAGUCUGAUUUAAACAUGUAAAAAAUAAUAUACUAUAAGUGAGUAUUUGUAUUUAAAAGACAAGAUAAAAGGUCACAACUUUAAAAUCUUUUGGUUGAUUGAAAUUAAGAAGCCACAUAUAGUUGACUUGUUGUUAGGGACAUAGUCCUUAGAACCUUCUAGAAGCAAGUCUCUGGAACCUUCUAGAAGCUUCUUAGUUGGUGGAAGUUGCUUGAGAAGCUUCCUAGUUGGUGGAAGUCGCUUGAGAAGCUUCCUAGUUGUUAGAAGUUGCUUGAGAAGCUUCCUAAAUAGGAAUAUAUAUUGGAAUUGAAGUUGAAGAGUUCUUCAGUCUCGACAACACAUUUCUUGGAGCUCUAGCUCACCUCUUUGGUGUUGUUCUUGUAUUCAUCUGAUUAAUCUAGUUCUUGCCAGUUCUUCUUGAACUUCUUGUUAGAUCUUGAGCCUGUAUUUCUAUGUCCGAUACACUUUGUUGAGACUUCACUCACCUCAGAUAUCAAAGCUAGUUUCUUCCUCGUUAGAGUGUGGAUUAUUCCUCUGCUUGAAGGUGUACUAGCAUUUUAGAGGUUGCGGAUUACCCUCCUCUAAACUGAUACUUCUUUUGUUAUAAUAUUGAAGUCUUAUUCUUCUUGGAGAGAGUAGAUUAUCCCUACUCUUGAAGCUCUUAAGGCGUUUUAGAGGUUACGGAGUACCCUCUUCUAAACCAAUAUUGUCUUCUUGUAGAAUCAUUUCUGUCCUUCUCUUAAAAUGGCUGGAGGCGAAGACAUUAGUAUGACAGAAAGUUCGGAGUCCAAGUUGGAUGCUAUCAUGAAUGCCCUCGCUACGUUAUCGCAAAGAACUACAGAAAUUGAAGGAGUCGUGGCAAAGCUUCAUAAUGAUGGAGCAUCUAGGAUGGCACAAUCUUCGUUGCACCAGCCUCAAACUUCUACACUUGGAGAAGCAACUUUGCCUCAAGUUUGACAAGCACCGUUAAUUCUACAACAUAAGGAGCCCCGAGUUAGCCUUCCGGACAAGUUCAAUGGCACGCAUUCCAAGUUUCGAGGAUUUGUCAAUCAAAUCAGGUUGAUAACAGUUUUAUAGCCCAAACGCUAUCCAACGGAAGAGUCACAUGUUGGCCUUGUUGGAACCUUACUUACAAGGCAAGCUCUAUCAUGGUUUGCUCCAUUGUUUGAGAAACGAUCAUCCAUACUGAACAACUUUGAAACCUUUUUGGAGGUAUUUGUGGAAGCAUUUGAUAAACAUGACAAGGUUCGAUGGACUACAACAAAGAUCCAGUUACUACGACAAGGGAUGCACUCUACAUCAGUCAAUGCAUCGGAUUUCAGGCAACUAGCAUGCGACAUUAAUUGGGAUGAAGAAGCAUUGAUGAGUCAAUUCUAUUGGGAUUUAAGGGACGAUGUGAAGGAUUUGUUGCUAACUCUUCCUAAUCCGCAAACGCUCAACAAAGCUAUUAGCAAAGCUGUGAAGUGCGAUAACCACCUAUUCCAAUGUCGCCAAGACCAACACUCAAGACAACAUAUAGUUCGUCACGUCCCAACUAUAUCGACAAGCAAUGUGAAUUCACAUUUAGAGGUAGAAGACAUGCAAAUUGAUGCGGUACGUGUCAAAUCCCUUACUCUACAAGAAAAAAAGCGGCGUAUAGAGGAAGGUCUAUGCUUAUAUUGUAGUGAAGAAGGCCACAAAGUUGGAAACUGCUACAAGAAGCAAAAUUGACGCAUUGUCAGGACCAGGGGUAUGUUUGUUCAGGAAAACGAGGAUGCCCAGCCACAAUAGGAACCAUGCGGCUAAACAGUGAAAUAUCGCAACAACAAUCAAGUUCCUUUCUUUCCGCUCAACCUGCCCUUUAUUUUACAAUCCUUUUGUUUAUUGGCCUUCAAAAACUGAGAACCUUAGCAUUAUUAGAUUCAGGAGCAUUUACUUGUUUCUUAGACGAAGAAUUUGUGAAGCGUCAUAAGAUCCCUUUAGUAUAAAAAUCCAAACCUGUUCACGUUGAGGUCAUAGAUGGAUGACCUUUAUUGUUUGGUAGUGUCACCCAUGAAUCAGAACCUAUAGAAGUGACGUUUAAGGGCCAUAGUAGCCAUAUUAUUUUUAAUAUUAUUUGAACCCCAUCAAAUCCUAUUAUUCUUGGUCUUUCCUGGUUGGAAAAGCAUAACCCAUCCAUAGAUUGGAGGUUGCAGAAGAUGACCUUUCCUACAAAAUCACCCAAGAGCAAGCCUAGUAGAAAACCCCGAAUAGAGAAAUUCUUAUUCAUUGGAACAAGAGCAUUUAUAAGAUCAUCCAAGGAAGGCACAUCAUUUAUCAUUUAUGUGGCUCCAACUAUCAGAGAGAAGAUCUCGACAACAAGUAUAUCGGAGCAAUAUAAGGAUUUUAAAGACGUGUUUCAAAAGAAGAAUGCCGACAUGCUACCGGAACAUCGACCAUAUGAUUGCGCCAUAGACUUGCAGGAAGGAGCACAAUCGUGUUUUGGCCUAAUCUAUAAUCUAUCGCAGAUGGAGUUGGCGGAGUUGCGGAAGUACAUCGACGAGAAUCUAGCCAAGAACUUCAUCCGUCAUUCAAAAUCGUCAACUGGAGCACCCAUCUUAUUUGUGAAGAAGAAAGAUGGCUCGUUGCGGAUGUGCAUGGACUAUCGAGGCCUCAAUAAGAUAACAAAGAAGAAUCGUUACCUGUUAUCCUUGAUUUCUGGUCUCUUAGAACAACUUGGACGUACAAGGAUCUUUACAAAAAUUGAUCUAAGGAGAGCUUACAACCUCGUACGAAUCAAUGAAGGAGAUGAGUGGAAGACAGCGUUUCGUACAAGCUAUGGCCAUUUUGAAUAUAAUGUCAUGCCCUUUGGUCUUACCAAUACUCAAGCAGUCUUCCAACAUAUGUUGAAUGUCAUUUUUCGAGAGUACCUUGACAAUUUUGCUGUCAUCUACUUAGAUGAUAUUAUGAUAUUCUCCAUAAACGAGGAAGAGCAUGAAAAGCACAUUCGUUUGGUCUUGGAGAAACUACGCAAGCGAGGAUUAUAUGCCAAGUUGGAGAAGUGUUUAUUUUACCAAAUGGAGAUGGAAUUUUUGGGGUUCGUUGAGACUACGGAAGGCUUGAAGAUGGACCCCAAGAAGGUGGAAGCAAUCGUAUCCUGGGAGGUUCCGAAGACGGUUAGAGACGUACAAUGCUUUCUUGGCUUUGCUAACUUCUAUCGAAUCUUCAUCAAGAAUUACUCUCAAGUUGCUGCUCUGCUCACUUGAUUGACAUGCAAGGAUAAGCUAGAAUGGGGACCUCUAGUGGAGAAGGCGUUUCAAGUCCUGAAGACAGUAUUUACUACGGCUCCGAUCUUGGUACAUCCAGACUUUACAAAGGCCUUCUAUUUAGAAACUGAUGCUCCGGAUUUUACUUAGGAAGUUGUACUUUCACAAAUGGAAGAAGACAAGAAGCUCCAUCUGGUUGCAUUUUAUUCUCGAAAGUUCUCUGCUGCUGAAAUCAAUUAUGAUAUCCACGAUAAAAAAACUUCUUGCUAUAGUAGAUUCUUUCCAAGAAUGGCGUCACUUUCUUGAAGGAGCUGCACAUCCAAUGACCAUAUACACUGAUCACAAGAAUUUGGAGUAUUUCAUGUCGGCUCGAGUUCUAAAUUGAUGUCAAGCUCGGUGGAGUAUGUUCCUAUGUAGAUUCGAUUUUGUUAUCACUUAUCGACUUGGAAAGCAGCAAGGACUAUCCAAUGCCUUAUCGAGGAGAUUGUAUCUUAUACCAAAGGCUAGAAAAGCAGCAUUUGAUCAACAAUAUAUGACGUUGUUGAACCAGAGCAAUUUCGGCUUUGCGCUACUAUUGUGCCAAUUGAUGCUGACUUCUUGAACCAAGUACGUGCCGUAACCAUUGAAGAUCUAGUAGCCAUUAAUAUCAAGCAGCAUACCAAUGACGACAAGUUCAAGGUGGAGGGAGAUCUUUUAUACUUUGAGGAGCAGUUGUAUAUUCCAAAAGGACUAGCAUGACUCCGAGUUCUUCAAUCUUGCCAUGAUUUUCUAGCUACGAGACAUUUUAGAUUCAACAAGACCUUGGAGCUUAUUUCUCAAGAUUUUUGGUGGCUCCAAAUAUGGAAGGAUAUAAAAGAUUUUGUCUUCUCCUGCGAUAUUUGUUCAAGAUCUAAGAAUCCUCGACAUUGCCCUUAUGGACUUCUACACCCAUUGUCGAUUCCACGUCGACCAUGGUCUUUAGUUUCCAUGGACUUCAUCACGGACCUGCCAUCAUCGAACUCAUUCGACAACAUCUUUGUCGUAGUAGAUCGACUUACAAAGAUGACACACUUUGUUCCUUGCAAGAAGACAUCGUUCAGUGUAAUCACAGCGAGGCUCUUUCUCAAUAAUAAGUAUCAUUAUCGUGGACUACCAAAUGAUAUCGUAUCAGAUCGAGGAACGCAGUUUGUAUCAAAGUUUUGGAGAUCUCUUUUUGUGAUACUGAAGGUGGAUAUCAAGCUUUCUUCGGCUUUCCAUCCUCAAACUGACGGCCAAACGGAACGGGUGAACCAAGUCUUGGAACAAUACUUACGAUGCAGCAUCAACUAUCAGUAAGACGAUUGGACCGCAUAUCUAUAGCUAGCCGAGUUUGCAUAUAACAACAUCCUCCAUGCGUCGACUCAAUACACACCAUUCUUUGCAAACUAUGGGUAUCAUUUUAAGCUUGAUUUAUUGAGUCUGUCAACAAAUAACAAUCCAUCAGCUGAAGGACUUGCGAAGCAACUAUCAGAGCUUCAAACUACGUUGAAGCUUCAAUUACAAUCCGCUCAAGAAUCCUACAAGGCAUCUGCAGAUAGAUUUUGGAAUCAAGCACCUACUUUCAAAAUUAGAGAUAAAGCAUGGCUUCUUCGAUGGAAUAUUAAGAUCAAGCGACCAUGUGAUAAGUUGGACUAUCGAAGAUUGGGACCAUUUAUCAUCCAAAAGCAAAUCAAUCUAGUGGCGUACCAUCUAGAAUUACCGGCUUCUAUGAAGGUACAUCCAGUCUUUCAUGUUUCUCUGUUGGAGCCUUAUCGAGAGUCGUCCUUUCUUGGAAGAGUGCAAUGUUCGCCACCUAGUAUUGAGAUCGAGAACCACGAGGAAUACGAGGUCGAAAAGGUGCUGGAUUCACGGCAAAGGUGGGGUAAGUUGGAGUAUCUUGUUCAUUGGUGCGGCUACAACAUUAAUGAGCGAACGUGGGAACCAGCUGAAAAUCUUGCCAAUGUGCCACAAAAAGUACAGGAGUUUUAUCAACAACAUUCUCCUAAACCUAAGUCGGUUCGACGAUAGCUUCCUUCUGAAGCUUGUUCACCUAAGAAUAUAAGAAAGGGGGAGAGCAUGACCAAAACUCGUAGUUGAUAAAGUAGAAUUUUUUCAAUAGCCUUCUGAUAUGGAUAGCCAAGAGAUAGAUACUAUACCAAUCAGAUUAUCUCAAUUGACUAGCUCACAAAGGCGACCCCGAGAUGAAGGACCGCCUAUACCACGACGACAAUAGAGGAUAUCGAGUAACCGAUUACUGGUGAUUGUAUUUGAGUUCGAGUCUACUUACGAUGGUCAGCCAGAAGGCGUGUUUGCAGGACAAUUUUACAAUGAGGACACAGAAGUUCAUGCUUGGCCAGAAUUUGAAGGUGUGGGCCACUACCGUUGGCUUUAAGGGCCGAUGAACCACUUGCCUCGUGAACAACAGUUGGAGUUCAUAGCAGACGUUAUGCGACAGAUCUUCAUUUUCUUGUUUUGGUACUGAUUAACAAUAAUAUUGCUUCUCAGAGACCUCGAAGCUAAAUGAGGGGGUGAUGUUAGAGACAUAGUCCUUAGAACCUUCUAGAAGCAAGUCUCUGGAACCUUCUAGAAGCUUCUUAGUUGGUAGAAGUUGCUUGAGAAGCUUCCUAGUUGGUGGAAGUCGCUUGAGAAGCUUCCUAGUUGGUGGAAGUCGCUUGAGAAGCUUCCUAGUUGGUAGAAGUUACUUGAGAAGCUUCCUAAAUAGGAAUAUAUAUUGGAAUCGAGGCUGAAGAGUUCUUCAGUCUCGACAACACAUCUCUUGGAGCUCUAGCUCACCUCUCUGGUGUUCUUCUUGUAUUCAUCUGAUUAAUCUAGUUCUUGCCAGUUCUUCUUGAACUUCUUGUUAGAUCUCGAGCUUGUAUUUCUGUGUCCGUGACACUUAUUCUUCAAAUAAUUUAACUUAAAAGCAAUAUGAUAGUAUAAUUAUGUAGAUUUUUUUUUUCUUUUUCCUCAAAUACCAUGAAAAUAUUGUUUCUUUGAGUUUCUAUUAGGUCAAUUUUAAGGAGUAGUUUUUAAUUGAAAAAAUACCACGUUUAUAAUUUCUAAAAUUCAUGAUUUAAAAUUUAUAAAAAUUUACAAAUAAAAAGGUAUAUAUUUUUAAAAUUUUCAAAAUCAAGGUAUAAGGUAAUAUAUUUAGACUUUUGAUAAAAAGUUGGUUUGAUCUUUUUUAUGGUAUUUUCUUUUAUUAAAUUACAUCUAAAAGAAACUUUUAUUUGCCAAGUAAAAGACUUUAGUAUGACUUCUAAAUUAUGGCCUUUAGAAUAGAGAUUUAAGAUAUAGAUAUCUUUUAAGACUAAGAUAAUAUAAUAGAUGUAUUGACAAUAUUGUAGAUAACCAUAUUUUAAUCUUGAUAUAAAUUGGCUUUCAAACAUGUUAUAAUCAUUGAUUUUAUGUGUUAUUAAAUUUAAUAAAAUAAUAUUGUGGCUACAAAAGUUACUUUUUAUACAAAUUAAAGCUAUGAUAUUAUAAAAUAAAUUACAUUUCAUGAGACGUUUCUAUUGACUUUAAUGUUAAUUCAAUGUAAUUAGUGAACAAUCUACUCAUUUUAUAAUAUAUGUGUAUACAAGUUGGAAGAUACAAUGCCUUGGUACACAAUUUCUUUAUCAUAGUAUCCUACAUAAAUAAAAAUAUCAAAUUACAAAAAUUUAAAAUUUAAAAUUUACUAUUAUAGUUUUUUAAAGAUUUAGUCCAUGCAAACCAUUAGAUUAAUUUCAACAUCAUUAUAUUAUAUUAUUAAAAAAUCAUUUUAAUUUAUUAUGUAAUACAUAAAUAUAUUAUUAUUUUAUUUAUCAAUUAAAUGCUUAAAUUUUAUAUUUUUCUUAAUUUAUAUCAAAAAUAAUGAUUUUUUAAUUGCUUGGUUUGUUAAUUUAGACAAAAAUAGACUAUAUUUUGUAAUUAAAAUUAAAAAUUUUAGAUAUUCAUGAAUAAAUUUUAAUAUUAUAUUUUUUGUUUAAAUUUAUUCUGAAUAAUUAAUAAUAUCUAAAUUUGAUUUUUGUUUUUAUUUUUUAUUUUUUAAAUAAAUAUUGUACAAAUCAACUAUUUUAUGCUUGUUAUACUAUAAGUUAGAUGUAUGAGAAAAUUAUUGUUUUUAUGUUUUUUUGUUUUGUUUUGUUUUUUUUUUUAUGUAUCAUUAUUGGAAAAUAGUAGUAAAAUAAUGUAAAUUAUAAUUAAUUAAUUUAGAAAUUGUAUUAGUGCACUCAUGGACAUCAUAUAUUAUUUUUAAAAUAAUAUUUUUUAAGAAAUAAUACUUUUAUUAUAUAUAUUAUUAUCUUAUAUAUAUAAUUUAAAAGUAGUGCAUUAAAUCAUAUAGGAAUUACAAUAUUUUAAAAUUCUUUAACUUAUUUCAUACACAACAAGAAACUUAUUGAUGAUGGAACUACUAUCUAUUUAAUAAUGAAAAUAAGUACCAUACAAAGAAAAAAAAUUAUAAAUUUAAUUUUUUAAUUAAGAAUAAAUAGAAAAAAGAAAAAUAAAAACAUAAUCUCCUAACUUAGAAAAUGAAAAAAUAUCAGUCUUGGUAUAUGGUUCUUUGCUCAACAUUUUAUGACAAAUUCUUGACGGUUGUUUAAAAUAAUAAUCUAUAACUUCAAUACACUCAUUGUCAUGACAAGAAGGAUUGGUGUCACAUCCUUUUACAAUUAUUGCGUAUAUUUUGUUCCACUGUUAGCAAUAGUAUCAAUCCAAUUUUGGUUCUCAACAUAUUUUGAUACUUCAUUUAGACUAUUAGGAAACAAAUGGUGCUAUUAUUAUUAAAUUAAAUUGUGAGAAAAACAACAUUGUCUAGAUUGCAAUGUUAAGUUCAACCUUCACAUACAAAUUAACAAGUACAAUUUUGGAAAACUGCCAACAAAACUCCAAUCGUCAGAAGAGUAAAAACACUUCAAGGGAUUUCAAAGUCACAUAGCUUGCAAAUCUAGAGUCUGUAAGAAGAGACCCAAGUCACCAAGAAUAGCAAUUGACAUCAAUGACCAUCGUAUUUGAUGCAAAAUGUCAAAGACCAGAAGAGUGAACGAAUUGCUCUUAUUCAGGAAUUGGAAAAGAUUCAGGGAAUAUGACGUCCAGUUGUACAGCAUUGAAAAUACAUACAGAGCCAUACGGUACCGUAUGAGAUGAGCCCCCAAAAAGAUCCAGGAAGUCUAUUCGGGGAACCGACAGAGGCAAGCAAGCAGGCAAGCAAGAGUGGGCUUUUCUGGAAACCUAGGGUUAGGGUUCCGGCUGGGCUUCCACGAGCUUCCUCAGGCUUCGACGCUCUUCGCAGCCGUCGAUACAAAAGCCUCUUGACUUCCUUUCCUCAGCAUUCUCGUUCUUCAGAUCGUCGAGAUACCGUGUGUGCGUUCGGGUAGUUCUCGGAGGAUUGCGACUGUAGGGAUUGUGUCUUCGCGAAGAGUGAUUUACAGCGAGCGCAGUCCGCUAUGGCCGGCAAGGGCGAGGGUCCUGCCAUCGGUAUUGAUUUAGGUACCACGUACAGUUGCGUGGGAGUAUGGCAGCAUGACCGCGUUGAGAUCAUCGCUAACGAUCAGGGGAACAGGACCACCCCCAGUUAUGUCGCAUUCACCGACACGGAGCGACUCAUUGGGGACGCCGCUAAGAAUCAGGUGGCAAUGAACCCCACCAACACCGUGUUUGGUGAGUUUUUCUUUACUCAGGUUUAUCACAAUUUUCCUCUCCUCUUAUGGACGUUCAAUGAUUGGUCUGUUGGCACUGCUAGGGAAUAUCUUAUGCGGAGUGUCUAAACAGUUGGAACUACUAGCUUUGUGAUGAAUGUGUUGAGUAUUUUUCAAUUUAUUUUUGACUGCUGGUCAAGUACUAUAGUGCAUGCUUUGCCACGUGUGUCUUGGCACUUGUGCGUUGGUGUUGAGUAUUGCAUGCGGCUUCUGUACUGAGAUAUCGUGUGUACGGGUUCCAUCAUGGGAACAUUCGUCGUAAGCUCAGAUGGAUGUGACUGGAAAUUGUUCUUUCCUUGCGUUUUUCUGUCUGUACGUGAAUGUGUGGCAUGUUUGAGCCAAUCAUCCUUUGAUUUUUGUGUCCAGGAUUUUCUCUGAAUCAGUUGAAGUUCGCUCACUCUUAUCAGCACUAAGUUUUGGUUGCCUGAUCUUUUACAUUCUUUGUGUUACAGAUGCUAAAAGGCUGAUUGGAAGGCGUUUUAGCGAUGCAUCUGUUCAAAGUGACAUGAAGUUAUGGCCAUUCAAGAUUACUCCUGGACCGGGAGAGAAGCCCAUGAUCAGUGUACAGUACAAGGGAGAAGAAAAAACUUUCGCUGCUGAGGAGGUUUCUUCUAUGGUGCUCAUCAAGAUGAAAGAGAUCGCCGAGGCUUACCUAGGAUCCACUGUGAAAAAUGCCGUGGUGACUGUGCCUGCUUACUUCAAUGACUCGCAGAGACAAGCAACUAAGGAUGCCGGAGUCAUUGCCGGUUUGAACGUUCUUCGUAUCAUCAAUGAGCCUACCGCUGCUGCAAUUGCUUACGGAUUGGAUAAGAAGGCAACUUCUGUAGGAGAGAAGAAUGUAUUAAUCUUCGAUCUAGGAGGCGGUACUUUCGAUGUGUCUAUACUGACCAUCGAGGAAGGUAUCUUCGAGGUUAAGGCCACUGCCGGAGAUACCCACUUGGGCGGGGAGGACUUUGACAACAGGAUGGUGAACCACUUCGUUCAGGAGUUCAAGCGUAAGUACAAGAAGGAUAUCAGCAGCAACCCCCGUGCCCUGAGGAGGCUGAGGACCGCCGCCGAGAGGGCAAAGAGGACACUGUCAUCGACUGCUCAAACCACCAUCGAGAUCGAUUCUCUGUACGAGGGUGUAGACUUCUACUCCACCAUCACCCGUGCUCGAUUUGAGGAAUUGAACAUGGACAUGUUCAGGAAGUGCAUGGAGCCAGUGGAGAAGUCCUUGAGAGACGCUAAGAUGGACAAGUCCUCCAUCCAUGAUGUCGUGUUGGUAGGGGGAUCCACCCGUAUUCCUAAGGUGCAGCAGCUGCUUCAGGACUUCUUCAACGGCAAGGAGUUGUGCAAAUCCAUCAAUCCCGACGAAGCCGUGGCUUACGGUGCCGCUGUCCAGGCAGCUAUAUUAUCUGGAGAGGGUAACGAGAAGGUCCAGGACUUGCUAUUGCUGGAUGUCACUCCAUUGUCCCUAGGACUUGAGACGGCCGGGGGUGUGAUGACAGUAUUGAUCGCGAGGAACACGACAAUUCCCACCAAGAAGGAGCAGGUAUUUUCAACCUACUCAGACAACCAGCCCGGAGUGCUGAUUCAGGUUUAUGAGGGUGAGAGGGCUAGGACGAGGGACAACAAUCUGCUCGGUAAGUUCGAGCUUUCCGGGAUUCCCCCUGCCCCCCGUGGUGUGCCACAGAUUACCGUGUGCUUCGAUAUAGAUGCAAACGGUAUCUUAAACGUGUCUGCCGAGGACAAGACGACGGGACAAAAGAACAAGAUCACCAUCACCAACGACAAGGGUCGUCUAUCAAAGGACGAAAUUGAGAAGAUGGUUCAGGAGGCUGAAAAGUACAAGUCUGAAGAUGAAGACCACAAGAAGAAGAUUGAGGCAAAGAAUGGGCUCGAGAACUACGCCUACAACAUGAGGAAUACUAUCAAGGAUGAGAAGAUUGCAUCCAACUUGGACGCAGCUGAUAAGAAGAAGAUUGAGGACGCAGUUGAGGCUGCUAUCCAGUGGUUGGACCAAAACCAACUUGCGGAGAGCGAUGAGUUCGAAGACAAGAUGAAGGAAUUGGAGGGUGUGUGCAACCCCAUCAUUGCCCGCAUGUACCAGGGUGGCGCUGGAGGUGGUGAGGGUGCCGCCCCAUCAUAUGGAGGAACCGACUCUCCACCAUCUGGCGCGGGACCCAAGAUCGAGGAGGUGGACUAAAAUUUCUAGUUCACCAUUCUGUAUCAGCUGGUAGGCAUAGAUGAGAAAAGUGCUGUCUACAAUCUGUACCUUUGCAUCAAAGUCGACCCUGUCUCCAGUUGUUGCGGUUCGUCUAGAUGCGUAUAUAAGAUUCAUUCUUCUUUGGUAUAUUCCCGGUCAAGUCUUAUGAUCCGAGCCUCAUGCUAACAGUUAUGCUUUUUCCUGCUUGAAAUUUGUACACGUAAAGCUCGUGUCAUAAGACUACUUGUUGACGCAUCCAUUAAUAAUCUGCACGCAGCAUCAGAACCCCAAUGGAAUCAUACCCUUGCUUUGCCCCUCGGAGAGUUUCACUUAAACAUGUCAAGUGAAUUGUUUAUCUGAAGCUAUCUCUACACUACAUUGCGGGAGACAAAUUAAUGACUUAUUUUUACGUAGUGCACACAGUGCAUCAACAAUAUCCAAUAUUCCUCAUCAUUCUCAGCAUGAGCGAAAUGAGACGAGAUCUGCUACACAUUUCAUGUAAACAUCGAGACUCUGCGGAGUUCCACACCAUUCGCAAAAGCGUAGACAAUAUUCUACAAUAUCUUGCAAAACAACUUUCACUUCGUACUUUUGAGAGAACCAAAAUGUUCUAUCAACGAGUAUAUUAUUAACAUAUGUGGUCCUAUAAUCCAAAUGUGUACAUCUACGUAUGCGUGUCCCUCAUACUGAUUAUCAACAUAUAUUAAAAACUGAAGUACAUUCAAUUAAUAGAAUUGAUGUAUCUCACCAUCAUAUCAAAAAAUAACCUAUUCACCUACUUCGAAAUAAUGUAACACUCAGAAUUUUCAAUUGUAUGCCUUUUAAGUUUUAAUGUUUCGAAAUGUUGAAUUAUUUUGAAAUGCUUUCUCAUACACUUACUAAUUUAUAUUUUUACCUAAAAUUACACAAUAAUUUGAUCUUUAUCCAGCCUUUAGAAUUACAUCAUUAUGUUCAGAAAUCUCUUUGGAUGGUAAUGUUGUGCUAUGAAUAUGCUAUUAGAACUUGAACAUACUAUUAUGAAAAUAAAAUUGGUAAAAUUAAUGUAAUAGGAAUGUCAAUUUCAAUUGUGUCUAUAACUAUGAUGAUAUAUAUAUAUAUAUAUAUAUAUAUGCACAUGUAUUAGUAUUUUUUUUUUUAUCAGUUUGUAUAUAGUAAUAAGUUUCAAAAUUUAGAUUGAUUUAUCAAAAUUGUAGAAGUACUAAUAAUAGAUUUUAAAACUAUUUUAUAAUAGUAAAAGUUGUAUAUAAUUGAAAUCAUAUAAAAAGUCGUUUUCUUAUAAUAUUUGUAGAAUAUUUAAUUAAAACGAAAAUCAGAUUAUGAUAAAAAUGUGUUAUAAGUUUUGUGUGUUAUAAUGCAAUAGUAAAACCUGAUGAUAAUGAAUAUGUUCAAAAGAUGUCUAUGUUUAAUAUACACAUACUAAUUAAAAAUAUCAAAAUCUAUUUUAUAUUAUUCAAAGACUAUUUUAAAAAAACAAAGCUUAGAAAAUAUAAUAUCAAAAUCUAUUUUAUAUUAUUCAAAGACUAUUUAAAAAGAAAACAAAGCUUAGAAAAUAUAAUUUGAUCAUUCAAUAAACUUAUAGUUACUAUAGUUUUAAUUUUUAAAUUUAUACUAAUGUGAUAAUAAUGCAAUAUAUAUUUUUAUUGAUAUUUUUUACAAAUUAAUGGAUGAUCAAUUUUUAAUAUAUACAUAAUUUUUAAUAAUUUUUAAUAAUUUUUAGUAUUUAUUUAAUAAUAAUAAUAAUAAUAAUAAUUUUCUUUCAUACAAAAACAAUCAUCUAUGGAUAAAAUUAGGUCUAAAUGAAGUUGGAUUAGGAAUUGAAUAAAUUUAGGAAUUGGAUGAAUUAGGAUUUCAAUGAAUUUAAUUAAUACAUGUAUAGGUGUUGUGUAGGUUUUUUUAGUGAUGAAUGGAAUUAAUUAAAAAAGCUCAAAGAAUCAAUUAAUAAGAACUUAAAAGAAUAGCUACAUAUAAUUAAAAUAUAAAAUAAUUAAUUGUUGUGAAUUAGAGUAAACUACCAACUAGUAGGGAUUUAUCUUAGUUUAUGUACAAACUAACAAAUCUUUCUUAUAGAUUUGCAACAAAAUUCAUAUUUGUUUUUAAUAUGUAAAUAUUUUUAAUUUUUAUUUACUUAUUUGUUUUCACAAAACCUAGAGUCUUUAAAAAUAACACUAGUUUUGCAAAGUUUUCACAAAGACUUUAUCCAUUCAAAUCUCCUCAAACCAAUGUUCAAAGAAAGCCUAUCAAUUUUGCUCUCUAAACUUACUCUUUAAUUAAACCAAAAACCCUAUAAUUGCAAUGAGCGCUCAAUUAUCCCAGACAUAUAUAUUUACUCUAAUAAUUAUCUAUAUGAUUAGGUAGAAGUAGAUAAAAAUAGUUUAAUUUUAUAAUAUCUUCUAGAAUAGCAUCUUAUAAGUUUUAUAGAUAUGAUUUUGACUUUAUACAUAUUUAUAGUUGACUUUUAGGUUAGAAACUUGGUCAAUAAGUUAGCCAAGUAUCACACAUAUAAAUAGCUUGUGGAACAAGCUAACUAUGUAGUGCACACAUAGAAAACUUACCUUGUAAGUUAAGACAUGUGGCUUGCAAAGUCAACUCAUGUUGGAGAUUCUAUAGAACAUUGCCAUGUAACUCCUAGAUAGAUAGUAUAUAUAGAAGCAAGAGUGAAGCUUUCUUCAUUCUUAUCAAUUUCUUUUUUCCUCUAGUUUAGAUUCAAGAGUCUUUAGUUUUCUUGUCUUUUGGCAAUAGCCAUUCUAGUUUGCUUUUAAUAUAUAUAUUUCUUUAUUUUUAUUUUAUCAUACUUCUUUGAUAAAAAUCUCACUUGAUUAUUUACUUUUAUUAGAUUUUUUUCCUUGAUAAAUUGAUAAGAGGAUACUUUCAAUAUUAGAGCUUUUUCUUUUCUUGAUUAAGAAUAGAUUACUUCUUUUUUUUGAUAAGACAUAUGCAUAUUUGAAGUUGUAGAGUACUCGCUUUUAAAUUGAUAUUGUUCUUAGUAUAUUCUAUAUUUUGAAGUUCUCUCUUCUAUUUGUCUUGAAUGAUAUUAGACAUCUUCUCUUUUCUAAAUAUUAUCAUGGUAGAGCUUCUUAAAAUAAAGAAUAUAAUGAUACAAAUGCAAGAGUAAUUGAUGGAGUUAAUGCUUACAGUGCAUUAAUUCAAUUUACCACCACAAGGAAAAAUAAUAUAGAGAUGAUUAGAGCUCCUUUAACAUCUCUAUCAAAUCAUGUUUCUUUUCCUAAAGUUAAACAUCCUUCCAGUAUUAUAGAAUUAAAGGUUACAUUGUAUGAGAAGCUUGAUGGCAUAAGAUGCAAGUUUCAAGAAUUUAUCAAUCAAAUAUAACUUGUGAUUGAACUUCAACUCUAAAGCUAUUAAACUCUAGGAUUACAAGUUGGAUUCAUUGAUACACUUCUUUCAAGUUUAAUAUUAUCAUGUUUUUUUAUCUCAUUUUGAACAAUGAGAUUUAAUAUUAGAUAAUUUAGAUAUUUUUUUGAUAGAAUUUCGAUCCACGUAUAGAAAACAUAAUGCAAUUCAUGUUGUAAUGAAUAAGAUCGUUAUUUUGUAAUAAAACAAUCAAUUAAUAAUGUUAUUUGCUUCAUAAUUUUGACAAUUUGCAAUUGAUAUUAAAUAGAAUGAUGCUGCACUUGUUAGCCAAUUUUUUUAUAAAUUACAAUAUGAGAUAAAAAAACAUUGAAUUAAGGCAUUGACUUUGUUGUAAAUUGUGACAAUCAAUUUUUUAAAUUUUGAUCUAAGAGUUGUACAAGUACACAUCAACGUUGUCGUAUUAUGUGUAUUCUUGCUUGAGAAUACCUUGGGCACUUAGCUAAGGAAGAUAAGUAAUAAUGUAACAAUAAUUCUAUCAAGUCUAAUAGAACCAUAAAUAAACUUCAAGUAAUUUCUAAUAAUCCAAUCAAACUUAAACUAUCCAAAUAAAUUUCAAAUAAAUUAUAAAAAAAAUUAAAAAUAUCAAAGAAAAAUUAAAAAUUAAAAAUUUAAUGUAAUUCUAAUUAAAAUCCUAAUUUAAUCUUAAUCAAAUCUUAAGUCAAUUCUAAGUGAAAUCUUAAUUGAACCUUAACCAAAAUUCUAAAUCAAAUUCUAAUGAAAUCUUAAUGAAAUUCUAAACCCUAGAAAAAUUCUAGAUAAAUUCUAAAUCAAAUCCUAAAUAAAUCUUAAUCUUAAUCAAAUCUUAGACCAAAUUUUAAAUCAAAUCCUAAUCAAAUUCUAGAUCUUAAACAAACUCUUAAUAAAUCUUAUAAUAGAUUGGAAUCUCAACAAUUAGUAAUAAAACCAUUGAUAUCAAUUCAAAAUUAUCAUAAUUUUUGAAUAUUUUAAGUAAAAAGAAAUAAAAAAAUGAUGAAAUCAAUUACACUUACUAAUUGAAAGAAAUAAAAAGUAAUCCAAUUAGGUAUUGGACAACUUCCUACUCCAACCUAAAUGCUCAACUUCCAGCACUAAUAUUUCCUUUAUGAAUUAUUGAAUUGCUUUUAAAUUUCAUCUAAAUAUUGAAAAUCAAGUCUAAUAUUCAUAUAAAAAUAUUUCACUUCAAUCCAAUCAAAAAAAUUCUAAAGAUCUUAGAAAUACUUACUAAUCCUUAAAUUCCAAUUUUUGAGACUUCAAGCCACAAUAUUAUCUCAAAUUCCAAAUUUAUGUGUUGAUUAUCAAAGACUCAAUAAAUUCACCAUCAAUAAUAGGUACCUACUACUUUUGAUAUCUAGAUUUAUUGAUCAAUUGAAUCAAGUUAAGAUCUAUACAAAAAUAGAUCUACAAGGAACAUAUAAUCUACUAUGCAUCAAAUAAGAAAAUGAAUAGAAGAUUAUAUUUUAAACUUGGUAUGAAUAUUUUGAAUACAUUAUAAUAUAUUAUCUUAGAUAUAUAUGUUUUGUGGAAAUUAUCGAUUAUUAUUGGAUCUUCAUGAAGAGCUUCAUUCAAAUUGCAACUCUACUUAUAUGUUUGACUUAUAAAGACAAAAUUUAAUGAAAUCAAGAGGCAAAAGUAACAUUUGAAGCUUUGAAGUCAACCUUUAUUUUUACACCAAUCUUAUAUUAUGUCAAAUUUUCAUAGCCAUUCUUUGUAGAAACAGAUAUAGUAUCAAAUUUUAUUUUGAAUGUUGUAUUGUCACAAAAGGGAAUAGAUGAUAAACUUCACCCAAUAGCUUUUUAUUGAAGAAAUUUUUUAAUAGCAAAGAUGAACUAUGAGAUUCACAACAAAGAAAUUUUUGGAAUUGUGGAUUUAUUUCAAUAAUAGUGCUAUUAUGUAUAAGAUGCUUUUAAUCCAUCACUAUUUAUAUGGACUACAAGGAUCUUAAAUAUUUUAUAUCAUCUUAUGUUUUGAAUUUUUGCCAAGUCCAUUGGAACAUGUCUUUGUCAAUAUUUGAUUUCAAGAUUACUUAUCAAUCCAAAAACAACAAAGUUUAUUACACGCCUUUUCUAGAUGUUUUUAUUUUAUAUCAAAUAAAAGAAAUACAUCUUUUGAUAAAAAAAAAAUAGUUCUCUUGAAGUUGGAUAAUUUUUAUCUUUGAACAAUAAAAUAAAUAUUGAUUAUUGGUUCAACCUUUGUCAAAUAAAUUUGAUCAAGUAUAUUUAAAAAAAAAAGAAUAUUUAUAUAUUUCAAAAGGAGAAGAAUAUUUACAUGUUUUUUAAGCAUGUUAUGAUUUUCUAUCCAUUCAAUACUUAUAUUACAAUAAGACUUUUUAGCUUAUAUUUAGAGAUUUUUAGUAGUUUUAAAUGUAGAAGGGAGUGAAAGACUUUGUCUAAUCAUAUGACAUUUGUUCUAUGUCAAAAACUCCUUGCUAUGGAUCUUAUGAACUUCUUUGAUCAUUGAACAUAACCAAAUAACUAUGAUCUUUUAUUUCUAUGGAUUUUUUCACAGUGGUAUAUGGCAUGAUUUUCUAUUUAAGAAUACAUUAAGUACUUAGCUAUAGAGAAUUUGGUUUUAAUGUAUUGGAUAAGUUUCAAUAAGUGAUUUUAUUCUUAUUAUUUUAAGGCCAACAAGAUACAAUAGUAUCAAAAGAUAUUCUAUUAUUAUAAUCUUUUUGUAUUUAAGAAGAUUUAUACAUAAGGCUUUGUAAAUCAUUUAAAAAUACCCUAAAAUCCUUUGAUAUACCAAAUUAUAAUUAACUAUUAGCCGAUAAGUUUGAUUUUCCAAAAGCUUAAAGAAAAUCCAUAAUCCUCUUACAAAUAUCCAUCUUUAUGUCAUAAUUUUUUCAUAGCUCUAUAUCUCUAUGAAUCAUCAAAUUAACUCACUUAGUAUUUUAGGAUAAAAAUAUGCAUUUAAAAUACUUUAAAUCACAAUAUAUAGUGAGUAGUAUAGAAAUCCUCAAAAAAAUAGAAAAUUAAAAUAUUAGUAGUGGAAAUGGAGUCUUAAUAAGUUUUCGAGGUAAUUAUCUUUGUUGGUUUAGUAUUUUUAUUCAUUACUGAAUAUUAAGGAUUAUUAUUAAGACCAAUAUUAGUCUUCUAUCUAUGUGUACUACUUAUAAAAAUUAUAAAUUUUAGUAAUUAGAAGAAGCAUGAAAAAGAAUCUCAUAUCAUUUUAAUUAUUGAUAUAAAAAAUAGGAUUUAUAGUGAAUUUAAAUUAAUUUUAUUAUUAUAAAAAAUUUACCAUGGUAGAAAAAUAUAGCCAUAGAUGGAUAUUAGUAUUAUAAAAAUAUUAUAAAAAAAAUUUAAAAUUUAUUUAGAAUUUAUUUAGAAUUUUUUAAGAAUUUUUAGAGUAAUUUUCAAGAUCUUAGUAAAAAUGAGUUUUACCAUUUUGGGAGCCUCUAUGAAAAAAUAAAGCAAGAUUUGAAGGCCACACAAGGUUCCUAUGCUGAUUGGGUGAUUUUGAAUACCAUAAUGAGGUGUCACGAAUCUAGAAUGUUGACUGAAAACAAGAAACUUAAGAAGAAUUGGCAAGAACUAGAUUAAUCAGAUGAGUACAAGAACAACACUAGAGAGAUGAGUUAGAGCUCCAAGAGGUGUGUUGUCGAGACUGAGGAUCCCCUUAGUCUCAGCUCCUAUAUAUACUACGAGUUAGGAAGCUUCUCAAGCAGCUUCCACAAACUACAAAGCUUCUCAAGAAUCUUCUAAAAUCUUCUACAACUUUCUAGUAUAUGUUCUUGACAUCACUCCCCUCCUUUUAGCUUUGAGGUCUCAGAGAAGCACUCCUAUUACAAGUUAGUACCAACAUAAGAAGUUGAAAAUUUGUUGCAUAGUGUCUACAAUAUAUUCCAAUUAUUGUUCAUGCGGCAAGUAGUUCAUUGAUCCUUGUAACCAACGAUAGUGUCCUACACCUUUGAUUUUGAACUAAGCAUGAACUUUUGUGUCUUCAUUGUGAAAAUGCCCUACAAACACUCCUUCAAGAAGAUCACCAUAGGUAAGUUCUACCUCAAACACAA